Molecule: ribosomal RNA, 449 nt
Filed under: uncultured bacterium
Lineage: Bacteria
Description: partial 16S ribosomal RNA
Rfam family: Bacterial small subunit ribosomal RNA
Source: RNAcentral
AACGAACGCUGGCGGCAUGCCUAACACAUGCAAGUCGAACGAGAUCUUCGGGUCUAGUGGCGCACGGGUGCGUAACGCGUGGGAAUCUGCCCUUUGGUUCGGAAUAACAGUUGGAAACGACUGCUAAUACCGGAUGAUGACGAAAGUCCAAAGAUUUAUCGCCAGAGGAUGAGCCCGCGUAGGAUUAGCUAGUUGGUGUGGUAAAGGCGCACCAAGGCGACGAUCCUUAGCUGGUCUGAGAGGAUGAUCAGCCACACUGGGACUGAGACACGGCCCAGACUCCUACGGGAGGCAGCAGUGGGGAAUAUUGGACAAUGGGCGAAAGCCUGAUCCAGCAAUGCCGCGUGAGUGAUGAAGGCCGUAGGGUUGUAAAGCUCUUUUACCCGGGAUGAUAACGACAGUACCGGGAGAAUAAGCUCCGGCUAACUCCGUGCCAGCCGCCGCGGUAA